GCACUCGUAGCUCAGCCUGGAUAGAGCAGUGGCAUCCUAAGCCGAAGGUCGAAGGUUCAAAUCCUUCCGAGUGCG
RNAcentral lists this transfer RNA (75 nucleotides) under Nanobdellota archaeon. RNAcentral's name for it is "tRNA-Arg". It matches the Rfam family "tRNA". From Rfam's summary of the family: Transfer RNA (tRNA) molecules are approximately 80 nucleotides in length. Lineage: Archaea; Nanobdellati; Nanobdellota. The record is from RNAcentral.